This 479-nucleotide ribosomal RNA is filed under the name uncultured bacterium. Its description in RNAcentral is "partial 16S ribosomal RNA". It matches the Rfam family "Bacterial small subunit ribosomal RNA", at positions 28 to 507 of the family's 1533-position model. The record is from RNAcentral.
GAUGAACGCUCGCGGGAGGCCUAACACAUGCAAGCCGAGCGGUAUUGUUUCUUCGGAAAUGCGAGAGCGGCGUACGGGUGCGUAACACGUGUGCAACCUGCCUUUAUCUGGGGGAUAGCCUUUCGAAAGGAAGAUUAAUACUCCAUAAUAUAUUGAACGGCAUCGUUUAAUAUUGAAAGCUCCGGCGGAUAGAGAUGGGCACGCGCAAGAUUAGCUAGUUGGUGAGGUAACGGCUCACCAAGGCGAUGAUCUUUAGGGGGCCUGAGAGGGUGAUCCCCCACACUGGUACUGAGACACGGACCAGACUCCUACGGGAGGCAGCAGUGAGGAAGAUUGGUCAAUGGGUGCAAGCCUGAACCAGCCAUCCCGCGUGAAGGACGACUGCCCUAUGGGUUGUAAACUUCUUUUGUAUAGGGAUAAACCUACCCUCGAGAGGGUAGCUGAAGGUACUAUACGAAUAAGCACCGGCUAACUCCGUG